Molecule: ribosomal RNA, 406 nt
Filed under: uncultured bacterium
Lineage: Bacteria
Description: partial 16S ribosomal RNA
Rfam family: Bacterial small subunit ribosomal RNA
Source: RNAcentral
AUUGAACGCUGGCGGCAGGCCUAACACAUGCAAGUCGAACGAGUGGCGGACGGGUGAGUAAUGGCUGGUAAACUGGCCGAUGGAGGGGGAUAAAUACUGGAAACGGUUUCUAAUACAGCAUACCACAGAAUGUACCCAGGUGGGAUUAGCUAGUAGGUGGGGUAAAGGCGCACCUCGGCUACGAUCCCUAACUGGUCUUAGAGGAUGACCAGCCACACUGGAAUUGAGACACGGUCCAGACUCCUACGGGAGGCAGCAGUGGGGAAUAUUGCACAAUGGGCGCAAGCUUGAUGCAGCCAUGCCGCGUGUAUGAAGAAGGCCUUCGGGUUGUAAAGUACUUUCAGCGAGGAGGCGUUACUCGCAGAAGAAGCACCGGCUAACUCCGUGCCAGCCGCCGCGGUAAUUC